Manduca sexta (tobacco hornworm) is the source of this 1366-nucleotide long non-coding RNA. RefSeq lists it as uncharacterized. NCBI's taxonomy places the organism in Eukaryota, Metazoa, Arthropoda, Insecta, Lepidoptera, Sphingidae. The transcript is spliced from 3 exons. The record is from RefSeq and is a predicted model, not a curated record.
AGCUUCUGUUAGUGAUGUUCGGUGCUUUGAAACUGUGGGUAGUUUUAAAUACAAAAUAGAAGUCAUAUUGAAGAUAUCAAUCUUGGAUAGGGAGCUAAAGUUUGAAAUUGGAACUGUUUGGACAGACGGAGCCACGAGUUCUGGAUACAUGUGCCUGAAGCGAAAAUGGUACGGCAUAAAAUGGCGGGUGAAAGAUCAAUAUGACCUACCAAAAGGUUGUCGGUGAUAGAAAAAAGGUAGAAAAUGUGGAAAAAUAACCCUAAGAAGAAAUACAAUAAGGUAUGUUUUAACUGAACAUGUGUCAUCACAUAUAAAUAAGGCGUUAAUAUUCUGAAGUUAGUUAAAAUCACGGUAAACUCUUUCUCCUCUACUUAAAUUCUAAAGGAUUUAUAAAAUAUAUGACAGGUGUUAUUACGAUGUGCCUUGUAACCAUUAUUGGUUUGGUGGGACGAAAGGAGCUUUAGAGAAAAACAAAAUUAAAUAGAAAUCAUUCAAUUUGGUUUGGACAUUGUAUGUAUGAGAUAAGAUAAUAGGCUCGUAAAAUACAUAACGGAUGAGAAUUUCGAAUCCCGGGUCGGGCAAAGUGAUAUUUAGGUUUUUUCUGCUCAGUAUCAGCCCGGAGUCUGGAAUUUGUGCCCGAUAUGGCGAUAGGCUCGCCCCCUAUCACAUCAUGGGACGGAAAAUACUUACUCUGCAUACCCCUUCGGGGAUAAAUGCGUGAUGUUAUGUAUGUAUGGAUGAGAAUAAACUGUGUCUUGGGGAUACAUCUCUGACCAUUUUGUUGGGAAUGUAUGCAUUACAUUAUAGGUAUAUGAAAUUUCAUUUAAAAUAUUUGAUAACUAGAAAAAUUUUGAUACAAAAUAAAUAUUUUUCAGCGGUUUGUAAACGCCUACGCCGCCAUCACCUCCUACGCUUUAGCGCGUUCCAAAAUGUAUUUUAAUAAAGUUAUUUCGUUCUCAAAAAUAUACCGAGGACUGAUCAUUACUCCAUAACUAAAACCAUAAUGGUACAAAAUAUAAAAUGUUGGAUACGUUGAACCUAACAAAGUUUUAUGUUAAAAUAUAAAUAUUACUGUCCCACUGCUGGGCACGGGCCUCCUCUACGAUUGAGAGGGAUUAAGGUCUUAGUCCACCACGUUAGCCUGGAGCAGUUUUGUAGAUUUCACUCACCCUCAAAAUUCCUAUAGAGAAUUUCUCAGGUAUGCGGGCUUCCUCACGAUGUUUUCCUUCAACGUUAAAGCAAGCUAUAAUUCACAAAAAAAUAUAUAAAUAAGUAUAAAAUAUCUUUCAAUAUUCACAUAUAACAUUAAACCUAAUAGGAAACAAAUAUAAAUUUAAGUCAACGCGUUUCUAUUCGACUACCGAAU